CUCUCUAUUUACUGUUUAUAUUCUUUAAAAAGGAACAUUGACUUAAUUCGGGAUGUGAGUCACUUUCUCUCCUUGGCAGCCAUUAAAUCCGCUCUGAUUGCAUCUGUUGGACUCUGACGUUUUUUCCACGCUGAACUAAUGAUAGAGAAAAUCCAUUUCUCACUUGGUUUGUGUCCCCCAUCGCGCAGGAAAAGACAUUAAGCCGCGAUCAUUAACAAAAUGAUCAAUUUGCCACAUUCCUGAGUAGCUCUUGCAGAACCAGAAUUGAAAUGGGCUACGUUCUGCUUUGUUUGGUUGAUUAUUUGUCACGCUUCAGACUGACUGAGACACUCACUGCAGAGUGGCGGGCAGGCUUACAAUCGCUUUGCUGGCCAGCUGUUUGGACCACUUCUUACAUAACUAUAUUAAGCCAUGGUCCACUGCCCUGUCUCAGCGAACUGGCUAUAAAUACAACAAAGUGGGCACGUCCCCCUGUCAUUGGCUGUGCUGCUUCACUAACCCAUGUUGUUACGCCAACAUGCUUGACGAAGCAUUGCGCUAAGCUCAUUUGUGUGUCACAUGUUACAUAAAAAGUCCUCUAAGUGCUCUCCUUGUUUCCGUGAACAGGUUCAAACAGUUCCUGUUAUUCUAUUGGAUCUAUAAGGGGUACCGCCGAUAUUUACAGGAUAGGUUUGUGAUAAAAACUCACUUUAUUCAAGUAACUGGAAGUUCUUUUUUUAACUAGCAUGAAGAUGUGCUGGAGAGAAUAUUAUCUAUCCAGCAUCUUCAUGGAAUCCACAAUCUAAAAAUGACUUAUUUCAGUUCAUAUUUGGAAGUAGCAGUUACUUUACAUGGAUUUUUGAAU
Hippocampus comes (tiger tail seahorse) is the source of this 844-nucleotide long non-coding RNA. RefSeq lists it as uncharacterized. Lineage: Eukaryota; Metazoa; Chordata; Actinopteri; Syngnathiformes; Syngnathidae. The record is from RefSeq and is a predicted model, not a curated record. The transcript is spliced from 2 exons.